UUACCAGUAGGCAUACACAUGCAAGUCUCUACCCGCCAGUGAGAAUGCCCUCUAGACCUCAAACAAGGCCAAAAGGAGCAGGCAUCAAGCACACAAUCCCCAAUGUAGCUCAACACGCCUUGCUAAGCCACACCCCCACGGGAAACAGCAGUGAUAAAACUUAAGCAAUAAACGAAAGUUUGACUAAGCCAUACUGGCCAACCCAGGGUUGGUAAAUUUCGUGCCAGCCACCGCGGUCAUACGAUUAACCCAAAUUAAUAACAACGGCGUAAAGAGUGUUUUAGACCCACCCGAGUACUAAAGUUAAAGUCUAACCAAGCUGUAAAAAGCCCUGGUUAAACAAAAAAUAACCAACGAAAGUAACUUUAAUUGCCUGAAGACACGACAGUUAAGACCCAAACUGGGAUUAGAUACCCCACUAUGCUUAACCGUAAACCAAAUAAUUACCAAACAAAAUUAUUCGCCAGAGUACUACAAGCCACAGCUAAAAACUCAAAGGACUUGGCGGUGCUUUAUAUCCCCCUAGAGGAGCCUGUUCUAUAACCGAUAAACCCCGAUCAACCUCACCACCCCUUGCUAAUCCAACCUAUAUACCGCCAUCCUCAGCAAACCCUGUUAAGGACUCAAAGUAAGCAAGAGAGCAACACACUAAAACGUUAGGUCAAGGUGUAGUCCAUGGGGUGGGAAGAAAUGGGCUACAUUUUCUACCCUCAUAGAACAAUUUAACGCCAACCUCAAUGAAAUGUUAACGGGCAAUGAAGCACGCACACACCGCC
RNAcentral lists this ribosomal RNA (776 nucleotides) under Arctocebus aureus (golden angwantibo). Its description in RNAcentral is "partial 12S ribosomal RNA". It matches the Rfam family "Bacterial small subunit ribosomal RNA", at positions 36 to 1394 of the family's 1533-position model. The record is from RNAcentral. Lineage: Eukaryota; Metazoa; Chordata; Mammalia; Primates; Lorisidae.